CAGCAUCUGCCUUUAAGGUAGACUUUACCUAUUUCAUAGUUUCCAUGAUUCAACUAGCCCUUUAGCAUAUAUAGCACAAAAUAUGAUCAUGAUUAACCAUUCCCAUGGCCCAUCAUUACCAAGUAUAUCCACACCUCUCAAUAACCGUAUACAUACAAAAUGAUUAUACCACUAUGCUCAAAAUACAUAAGCCAUUUUCGCAUGGCUAUCCAAAUAUAUACAACACCAAAGUACUUGACUAAUAACAAAAAGGGUAGUCCUAUACAUGCCAUUUUCAGAGUUCAACCAAAAGUGUACCAAAAGGGCUUUGAUAGUGUGGGUGAUUUCGACUUCGACAAUCCCGAGUCCCGUAGCUGACGAGCCAAAAUCUAUAAGACAGAGAAUCAAAGAAACGGAGUAAGCAUUUAAUGCUUAGUAAGUUUUGAGCAAAACAAAGUGUUCUCAUUCACUGUCAUUGGUCAUUCAUUUCAACUAUUCGAUGAGGUUAACCUAGAGCUUCAUCUCGAACUAUAAUAUCAAUAAACGCAUCACUUGGUUGUCUCAUAUAUACUUUCGAAUAAUAAUGACCUAGAUGGUCAAAUAUUUCAAAAGCACAUUCUUCAUCAAUUUUCAACUUUCAAUAAUCCUUUCCACUUGUUCAUAAUCACAUCCAUAUUUUAAGUAUUUCAACAUGACAAGUACUAAAUUACCGUAGGUACAUAAAGAACCAGACAUAUUCCUUAUCACAUAUACGUAAACUUACAAGACAUAAUCCUUACCUUGUACUGGCACAUCUAGCUAAACCCAACCCAUACUCAAAUCAUAAGGCUUUUGGGCAGAAUAUGCAUUAAUACAUAAGAAUAUUUCAUCACAUACUUCAUUAUACAAGCAUACCAUUACCAAUUAGGUCAUUCUCAUAUUUGGAGUUAUAAUAUUAAUCACAGUUACCUACCUCUUUGAUAUUGAUAAUUCACCUCGAAAUCAUUCCGCCGAUGAGUAAGUAAUACGUACCUGAACAUCUUAAAUACAUAAUACUUAUUUGAUGGUAACUUAUUGCAGAUACUCAAUAUCAAAGUCUUACUUGAAUCCUAGCAUUUAGCCGUCGGGUCUUUAAAGCUCGGAUAUAGUACGAGCACGAAGCCUACGAACAUUAAUCAGGAUAAUAUUCUCGCAUAAAGCCUGCGGGGUUUUAACCCGGAUAAAAUCUCCACACGUGGUCAUUGGGUCUUACCCGGACAGAAUCUCCACACAUAGUCAUCGGGUCUUACCCGGAAUAUAUUUCCAAGUUUCAUGUACAUUUAAUCACAUGUUACAACAUUCACAUCGACUGUCAUAUUUGUAAUUCAUUUGCCUCAUCAAUUAUCUAAUAAUACACACCUUUCACAUUUGAUCAUUCGGCCACAAUAUACACAUCUCCUACGUAUUGCACAUUAGCCAUUCGGCUUUACCAAAUAUACAUCUCUCAUACAUAUUUCAUAUUAGCCAUUUGGCUUUACCACAUAUACAUGUCUCAUACAUGUCUCAUAUUAGCCAUUCGGCUUUACCACACAUAUAUAUAUUUACCUUGUACAUCAAUUUCAACAAUGGCUUAUAAGCAACUCAAACAGUUUCAUUAAUGUUUACAACAAAAUCACAUAUUCACUACAAUCUGUUUUUCCUGAGCAAUAGUCACUAAAUUAUUUAUAACUGGAGCUACAAAACUCCAAAUCAAUUGCCGUUAAUUUUCCCUGAAUAUAGACUCAUAUAUCUUCCAUACCUAAAAUUUUCAGAAUUUUAGGUUUGGCCAAUCAACACCAGAUUUUUCUUAAAGUUUCCCUUGUUUCACUGUUUGACUAAUCUGACCACUCUUCACUACGAAUCAAAUUUCUCAUUGUAAAAAAUUAAAAAUGUGUUCUAUUUGAUUUCAUUUGAAACUAGACUCAUUAAGGAGUCUAAGCAUAUAAAUUUUAUCUUAUAACCGUUUUUGUACAAAUUAUAAUGAUUUUCUAAAAACAGAAUAGGGGAUUUCGGAGUCAUUCUGACACCGUCUCACACAACUUUAAAUAUCUCUUUAUAGGAAAUUUCUUUGCUCACACGGCCUCUUUUAUAAGAAACUAGAUCAAUUAAGCUUUGAUUACAUAUUUUAUUCGGCCUAUAAUUCCACGCCAAUAAUUUAUGGUGAUUUUCUAAAAUUACGUUACUGCUGCUGUCCUAAGCAAAUUAUUACAAUUUGCUCUUAAAUUUCCAAGUCCAAACACUUAUGAACUUACCAUUUGAGUUUAAACCAUAUCAUGGCCACACCAUAUCUUAUUAAAUCAACCCAUUAUGUCCUAUUAUGAUUGAAUUUACUCAACGUUUAAUCACUUAAAACUUACCUCGGAAGUGGCCGACGACUAGAUAUCCACGGCUAUUCGUUUACUUUCUCUUUUCCCCUAUCCGACUUUGAUCCUCUUUGCUCUUAAGCUUAAUUAAAACAAAUGAAUUUGUUUCAUUACUUAUUCAACAUUACUUGCCAUUAUAAAUCAUAAAAAAAAAUGACCAACGCAUACGACAUCAACAAUAUAUGUACAUACCAAAUACCUAUUUUGCAUACUUAUCAAUAUGAACUUAAAGCCCCAUCCUAAUACUCAUGUACAUAUUAUCCACCAUUUUCAAACCAAUUCAUCAAUGCAAUCAUACCAUUACAAAUCAACCUAAAAUAACCAUAUCUAAUAAUCAAAUACCUAUAGCAUUGCAUAUUUCUCACAUAGCAAGUACAACUAAAUUCAUUAUUAAUAUAUAUAUCUAAACACUUAACUACAAGAUUUAAUCACCAUUAUCAAAUCAUAAAACAGCUUAUAAUCAUCAUCUAUAUUUACUUCACAUAAACCGAAAUAUCCAUUACAUCAUCUUUAAUACACUUAGCAUUUUACCCAUUUAAUCAAGCCAAAUCUCAAGACCAUUCCAUCACGCAAAUUAUACCAUAAAUCAUACUUACAAUUUAAGUUAAUACAUGACCGGAAAUCACCAUCAUUAACAUCGUUAUCAAACCAAAACCAAAACGCAUCUAUCAUGCAAAUGACAUCAACACAAAUCCACCUUAGCCGAAACUUAGCUCAUCUUCAUCACAUAGCAAAGAUUUAAACCAUGGGCUAGGUAGAACUCAAGCUAACAACUAAAAACAUGCAUGAAUCUCAUGGAACAACAUCAAACAUACCUCCUCCUAAACACCAACCAACCGAACAUGAAGCAAGAAAACUCCUUUCUUUUUCCUUUGAUUUUUCGGUCAAGAAGAACAAAGAGGAUGAAGCCUUUUUUUUUUCUUUUUUUUUUCUUCUAGGUACGGCACAAUGGAGGAGCAACCACACACAUUUUUUU
This 3315-nucleotide long non-coding RNA is filed under the name Gossypium barbadense (sea-island cotton). RNAcentral's name for it is "long non-coding RNA (GBAR_LNC005134)". The record is from RNAcentral. Lineage: Eukaryota; Viridiplantae; Streptophyta; Magnoliopsida; Malvales; Malvaceae.